GCGAGUGAAGAGGAAAGAGCUCAAAGUUGGAACCUGUUUGGCUUAGCUAAACCGGAUUGUAAACUGUAGAAGUGUUUUCCAGACACGCCUGGUAAAAAAGUCCUUUGGAACAGGGCAUCAUAGAGGGUGAGAAUCCCGUCUUUGGCCAGAGCUGUUGUCUUUUGUGAUACAUUUUCAAAGAGUCAGGUUGUUUGGGAAUGCAGCCUAAAUUGGGUGGUAAAUCUCACCUAAAGCUAAAUAUUUGCGAGAGACCGAUAGCGAACAAGUACCGUGAGGGAAAGAUGAAAAGAACUUUGAAAAGAGAGUUAAACAGUAUGUGAAAUUGUUAAAAGGGAACCGUUUGGAGCCAGACUGGCUUGACUGUAAUCAAUCUAGGCUUCGGCCUGGAUGCACUUGCGGUUUAUGCCUGCCAACGACAAUUUUUUUUGAGGGAAAAAACUAUUAGGAAUGUGGCCCCCCUCGGGGGGUGUUAUAGCCUUUUAGAAAAUACCUUGAAUUGGAUUGAGGAACGCAGUGAAUGCCUUUAGGCAAGAUUGCUGGGCGCUUUCGCUAAUAAAUGCUAGAAUUUCUGCUUCGGGUGGUGCUAGUGUUUAAAGGAGAAACUCGUCUGGUAUAUU
RNAcentral lists this ribosomal RNA (617 nucleotides) under uncultured Helicostylum. RNAcentral's name for it is "eukaryotic LSU rRNA". It matches the Rfam family "Eukaryotic large subunit ribosomal RNA", at positions 89 to 611 of the family's 3401-position model. The record is from RNAcentral. Lineage: Eukaryota; Fungi; Mucoromycota; Mucoromycetes; Mucorales; Mucoraceae.